CUUAUCGGUUUGUUUGAUGUUACAGCCAAGGGUCUGUAGCUCAGGUGGUUAGAGCACCGUCUUGAUAAGGCGGGGGUCGUAGGUUCAAGUCCUACCAGACCCACCAAGUUACGGGCGGCGGAGAGCGAUCUUGCCGUGAACUGGGGGAUUAGCUCAGCUGGGAGAGCACCUGCUUUGCAAGCAGGGGGUCGUCGGUUCGAUCCCGUCAUCCUCCACCAACACCUUGUGGUAGCCAAACGCAAGCAUCGAGAGAUCGGUGUUUGCGUUUGGCAUUGCCAAGACGAGUAGUAACUCGGCUGUUCUUUAACAAUAUGGAAUGUAGUAAAGGUGUCGCGGCGCGUUGAUGAGGCGCGCAAUUUAAACGCGACACUGGGUUGUGAUUGUAUCAACCAGUAUUACGAGUGAUCGAAAGACCGCUUGGAAUACGGCACAACGCGAGAACUCAGCCUAUAGCGAGACAUACUCGUUAUAGGGUCAAGCGAAUAAGUGCAUGUGGUGGAUGCCUUGGCGAUCACAGGCGAUGAAGGACGUAGUAGCUUGCGAAAAGCUGCGGGGAGCUGGCAAACGAGCUUUGAUCCGCAGAUGUCCGAAUGGGGAAACCCGGCCCGUAUGGGUCAUCCCUUGCUGAAUACAUAGGCAAGGGAGGCGAACGCAGUGAACUGAAACAUCUAAGUAGCUGCAGGAAAAGAAAUCAACCGAGAUUCCCAAAGUAGUGGCGAGCGAAAUGGGAACAGCCUUGUACUCUUUAGCAGUAUUGUUAGCGGAACGGAAUGGAAAGUCCGGCCAUAGUGGGUGAUAGCCCCGUACGCGAAAACAGUAUUGUGGAACUAGGUGUACGACAAGUAGGGCGGGACACGUGAAAUCCUGUCUGAAGAUGGGGGGACCAUCCUCCAAGGCUAAAUACUCGUGAUCGACCGAUAGUGAACCAGUACCGUGAGGGAAAGGCGAAAAGAACCCCGGGAGGGGAGUGAAAUAGAUCCUGAAACCGCAUGCAUACAAACAGUCGGAGCCUGGAAACGGGUGACGGCGUACCUUUUGUAUAAUGGGUCAGCGACUUACAUUCAGUGGCAAGCUUAACCGAUUAGGGAAGGCGUAGCGAAAGCGAGUCCGAAUAGGGCGUUCAGUCGCUGGGUGUAGACCCGAAACCAAGUGAUCUAUCCAUGGCCAGGUUGAAGGUGCGGUAACACGUACUGGAGGACCGAACCCACUAACGUUGAAAAGUUAGGGGAUGAGCUGUGGAUAGGGGUGAAAGGCUAAACAAACUUGGAAAUAGCUGGUUCUCUCCGAAAACUAUUUAGGUAGUGCCUCGUGUCUCACCUUCGGGGGUAGAGCACUGUCAUGGUUGGGGGGUCUAUUGCUGAUUACCCCGCCAUAGCAAACUCCGAAUACCGAAGAGUGCAAUCACGGGAGACAGACAUCGGGUGCUAACGUCCGGUGUCAAGAGGGAAACAACCCAGACCGCCAGCUAAGGUCCCUAAGAUUGGCUAAG
RNAcentral lists this small RNA (1489 nucleotides) under Ralstonia solanacearum. RNAcentral describes it as "bacterial LSU rRNA". The stretch from base 473 to 1489 matches the Rfam family "Bacterial large subunit ribosomal RNA", at positions 1 to 1063 of the family's 2925-position model. Lineage: Bacteria; Pseudomonadati; Pseudomonadota; Betaproteobacteria; Burkholderiales; Burkholderiaceae. The record is from RNAcentral.